RNAcentral lists this small nucleolar RNA (138 nucleotides) under Ornithorhynchus anatinus (platypus). Lineage: Eukaryota; Metazoa; Chordata; Mammalia; Monotremata; Ornithorhynchidae. The record is from RNAcentral.
ACCCUCUCAGGGUCGUACCUGGAGAGUUUCCAGCACUCUACCGGUCUCGGCUACAGGAGAGAAAGUUGAGCAGAGGCCUACCCAUUCCAUUCCUAGCGUGGGCAGUGGCUAGCCAGUGGCAGGCAAUCUGCUACAAGU